UGGGUAACCUGCCUCAAAGAGGGGAAUAGCCUCCCGUAAGGGAGAUUAAUACCGCAUAAUAUGUUUAAGUCGCAUGACUUUAACAUCAAAGGAUUUUCUUUAGAAAUUCCACUUUGAGAUGGACCCGCGGCGCAUUAGCUAGUUGGUGAGGUAACGGCUCACCAAGGCAACGAUGC
Molecule: ribosomal RNA, 176 nt
Filed under: uncultured bacterium
Lineage: Bacteria
Description: partial 16S ribosomal RNA
Rfam family: Bacterial small subunit ribosomal RNA
Source: RNAcentral